This 468-nucleotide ribosomal RNA is filed under the name uncultured bacterium. RNAcentral describes it as "partial 16S ribosomal RNA". It matches the Rfam family "Bacterial small subunit ribosomal RNA", at positions 28 to 507 of the family's 1533-position model. The record is from RNAcentral.
GACGAACGCUGGCGGCGUGCUUAACACAUGCAAGUCGAACGGAAAGGCCCUGCUUUUGUGGGGUGCUCGAGUGGCGAACGGGUGAGUAACACGUGAGUAACCUGCCCUUGACUGUGGGAUAACUUCAGGAAACUGGGGCUAAUACCGGAGAGGAGCUCCUGCUGCACGGGGGGGGUUGGAAAGUUUCGGCGGUGGGGGAUGGACUCGCGGCUUAUCAGCUUGUUGGUGGGGUAGUGGCUUACCAAGGCUUUGACGGGUAGCCGGCCUGAGAGGGUGACCGGCCACAUUGGGACUGCGGUACGGCCCAGACUCCUACGGGAGGCAGCAGUGGGGAAUAUUGCACAAUGGGCGGAAGCCUGAUGCAGCAACGCCGCGUGCGGGAUGAAGGCCUUCGGGUUGUAAACCGCUUUCGCCUGUGACGAAGCGUGAGUGACGGUAAUGGGUAAAGAAGCCCCGGCUAACUACGUG